AUGAGAACUAAGAGUAGUAGCCUUGGCUACUAUUCUGAACACUCCACCCUUUGUUUACAUUACCUUUGUUGCUUUAGCAGGCCCGCUUUCGAGCCGCCGGCACCUGCUGGUCAGUGCCUGCUAGAGAACCUAAAACUCUUGUUAAUAAUAUUGUCUGAGUACUAUAUAAUAGUUA
Molecule: unclassified non-coding RNA, 175 nt
Filed under: uncultured fungus
Lineage: Eukaryota; Fungi
Also listed under: 1 other name
Description: sequence contains ITS1, 5.8S rRNA gene
Source: RNAcentral